CUGGGAUUACAGGCGUGAGCCACCGCACCUGGCCAAAACCUUUAUUUUCUCAAUGAAGCAGACAUUCACUCCACAGACCUUAUGUACUAUAUGCAGAACACUCAAUAAAUGCCUCUUGGCCCAGCUGAGGCUCAGUAGCUGAUCAUUCACUAAGAAGGCAGAGGGCUCUGCUGAUGCAAAAGGGAUACCGGGUUCAGGAUUUCAACUGGGGGAAGUUUCCAUUGAGCCUUCUAAGUGCAGGGAGCCUCCUGACCUCAAGUGAUCCGCAGAUCUCGGCGCCCCCAUAGAGUGUUGAAGCAUCCCGGGCCACCAUCUGUGGCCCAAAAGGUUUUUUAAGGGGCAAGAAUCCUUUUCUUGGCUUCUGCAGUCAGUCUCCUUGCCAGUGACAACAUCAGGGCAGCAGUGGAAAAAGACACGCUUUCAGUUGCUGGAUAAAGUGUCUUCACCGUCUUGGCAAGAAUCCCUUCACUGCCUGAGGGACCUGUCCUAGGUGCCAGAGUGAGCAGGGAGGAACACAGGUGUGUCUCGGUGGCUGGAGAACCCAGCCAGGACGACGCCCAGUUUGGAACUGUACCGAAGCUGAGCCCUGCCUUGCACGGCUGAAGCUUAGCCACAGAGGCGGAACUUCCCUGGCUUUUCCUGGAAGCGGAAGCCGUGAAAUGGCCAAAGCACAAGACAGGGUGGUGCAGUUUUGCUCCCGCGCGAUCACCGUUGGCCACGCGCCUCGGUCUCUAUCUGUAAAAGAGAUCCGCAUCUCUGGUAUUUGAUGCUGGAGAGAAAAAUGUGCGGCCUCCGCCCAACCUUGAGUUUCCUGCUCCACCGCGCCCUCUCGUGGUUAACUGGACUCACGGCUUUCUCGCCCCCAACCCCAACCACCUAAAUUGCGGUUCUCAACCUUGGCUGAGCGUGGGAAUCACCCGGGGACCUGCGAAACACCGAUGCCUGGGUACCGGACUCUAUCCGCGCCUCCCCCUGCGAGAGAUUCUGACUUAAUUGGCCUGAUGCAAUCCGGGCGUCCCCUGGGGAUCACAGUGUGCAGUCAAGGCUGGGAAACACUGACCCACCUCUGCUCUGCCAGGGAUCCUGCGUUUGGCUGACGACAUUUCUCUUGUCAGAGCCCACCGGACUCUGCUUUCCGGAUAUAAAGGAUCCUUUUGCAAGUCUAAACACCUCAAUGUCGGCAUCACACCCUCAAGCAUCCACCCUCUACUCCUGAAAUACUCAUGAUUAAUAUGUGCUUUUAAUUUCUAUUGCUGGAGAAAAUGUUUCUGAAAAAUUGCACUUACAUAAAUAGAUAAGGCAUAUUAUUUGUAUUAUCUGCUGACAACAUCCGUGAUGUGUGCAUGUGUGUGCUGCGUAUGCACAGAGCUUCCUCACUAUAAUUUCAGGAGCUUCUCAGGGCCUUAGGUCAGAGAUCCGCUAGCCGUGCCAGGGCACUCUGGCCCUAAUGUUAAAAAUAGACCAUGGCUUUAGCCACUCCUGUCAGUAUCUUGUCUCACUGCCCAGUGCUCCAUUCAUCAGGAGAAAUUCCUGAGCUGCUGCCCAGCCAGUCAGCCAGGCCCAACUGAAAUUCCCAGGGGGCCUGUGAGGGGGGUCACACGUACUCUUAGCUUCUAGGCUGGACCUCAGGACUCCUAGCAGAAGGAUAUCCACUGUGGCCCUGCGACCUUGUCAAUCGUUUGAUUCACAGCCUCUCAGUGACACUGGCACUCAAUGAGAUGGGCUCCUUUCAUGACACGGUCACCACCAUCAUCACAAUCUCCAGCAUUUUUGGGUUCCUACUAUGUGUACAGC
This 1794-nucleotide long non-coding RNA is filed under the name Homo sapiens (human). RNAcentral describes it as "non-protein coding lnc-ABHD2-6:1". Lineage: Eukaryota; Metazoa; Chordata; Mammalia; Primates; Hominidae. The record is from RNAcentral.